AUUGAACGCUGGCGGCAUGCCUUACACAUGCAAGUCGAACGGUAACGGGCCUUCGGGUGCCGACGAGUGGCGAACGGGUGAGUAAUGCAUCGGAACGUACCUUUCAGUGGGGGAUAACGUAGCGAAAGUUACGCUAAUACCGCAUAUUCUGUGAGCAGGAAAGCAGGGGAUCGCAAGACCUUGCGCUGAUUGAGCGGCCGAUGUCAGAUUAGCUAGUUGGUGAGGUAAAGGCUCACCAAGGCGACGAUCUGUAGCGGGUCUGAGAGGAUGAUCCGCCACACUGGAACUGAGACACGGUCCAGACUCCUACGGGAGGCAGCAGUGGGGAAUUUUGGACAAGUGGGGGCAACCCUGAUCCAGCCAUGCCGCGUGAGUGAAGAAGGCCUUCGGGUUGUAAAGCUCUUUCGGCCGGGAACGAAAGUCGUAUGGGCGUAAUACCUCGUGCGGAGUGACGGUACCGGCAUAAGAAGACACCGGCUAACUACGUGCCAGCACG
RNAcentral lists this ribosomal RNA (496 nucleotides) under uncultured bacterium. RNAcentral describes it as "bacterial SSU rRNA". It matches the Rfam family "Bacterial small subunit ribosomal RNA", at positions 30 to 515 of the family's 1533-position model. The record is from RNAcentral.